AGUGAACGCUGGCGGUAGGCCUAACACAUGCAAGUCGAACGGCAGCACAGUAAGAGCUUGCUCUUACGGGUGGCGAGUGGCGGACGGGUGAGGAAUACAUCGGAAUCUACUUUUUCGUGGGGGAUAACGUAGGUAAACUUACGCUAAUACCGCAUACGACCUACGGGUGAAAGCAGGGGAUCUUCGUACCUUGCGCGAUUGAAUGAGCCGAUGUCGGAUUAGCUAGUUGGCGGGGUAAAGGCCCACCAAGGCGACGAUCCGUAGCUGGUCUGAGAGGAGGGUCAGCCACACUGGAACUGAGACACGGUCCAGACGCCUACGGGAGGCAGCAGUGGGGAAUAUUGGACAAAGGGCGCAAGCCUGAUCCAGCCAUACCGCGUGGGUGAAGAAGGCCUUCGGGUUGUAAAGCCCUUUUGUUGGGAAAGAAAAGCAGCAGGUUAAUACCCCGCUGUUCUGACGGUACCCAAAGAAUAAGCACCGGCUAACUUCGUG
This 492-nucleotide ribosomal RNA is filed under the name uncultured bacterium. RNAcentral's name for it is "partial 16S ribosomal RNA". It matches the Rfam family "Bacterial small subunit ribosomal RNA", at positions 29 to 507 of the family's 1533-position model. The record is from RNAcentral.